AUGGUGCAGUCAUUCAAUAGAACAUAGAAAGAGUUCGAAUUCGAAUUUUUCGAAUUGAUUAUUGUGAUAAUACAUGUGUCACACGUGAUUUUCAUUUUGUGUGCCUGUGUGAGUGUGUAUUUGAUGAUGAAAUCUUGCUUGAAGACUGCAUUUAUUGGAAUGAUUUUUUCUGUUUUUGUUUCCAUGAUCUAUGAUCUACUCAUCGUUUGGUAAGUUAUUUCGGUUAUUUAACCUGAUUACACCUAAAAUACCUGAUAACUUUUUUCAUUUAAAAUAAAGAAAAUGGAGCAUUUACGAUAUUGCAGAAAGCCACAGCGGUUGACGAUUCAAUGUUGAGUGUCUUCAUGCGAUGAACCCAUAAGGUGAUCAUCAAUUACAACAGCAUAUUAUUCAACAUGAAACACGACAACAACAACAGCAACAAAUAAUACAAGCAACAGAAUCCGCUCAAUCAUCACAUCAAGUUCAUCAUCAUCAACAAAAUCUUCAUCAUAACCAUCAUCAUCAUCAUCAUUUGCAAAGAUCGGCAUCCACCGGUUCAGAAGUACAAUUCAGAUCAUUAGUUGAACCAUCUACGGCUUCAGUGCCAUCAAUUUGUAGGCGUGUCCUCUAUUUUGUAACAUUGUUUAUGAAGGGCUUUGAUAAUUCUUUAUUUAAGCUUGUGAAAUAUAAUAAUAAAAGUUAGUUGAUUUUCACCACUGAACGUGUCAAGUUAUUUCUCGUCUCUUGCAUGCUACAAAUUCAAACCCAACAUCAAGCACUCGGACAGAAAAAUCCGAGUUCUAUUUUAUAACUUACAAUGUCCCCUCUACGGGGACAUCCGAGUGCAAAGGGUUAAAUUACAGUGAUAUAUUCAUUGGGCGAUCAUGUUGAUGAUGAAAAUGAUCUUUUUGAAUGUGGCAAAUGUAAACAACAUUUCUCAUAUCUUCAUUCAUUUGUGCAGCAUAAAAAAAUUUGUAAUAGCCGAUUACAGCAGCAACAACAUACGAAAAGCAGUUUAUCAACAAAUAGCGAAAAGCUACGAGAAUUGGCUGAAAUCGAAUUACAUUUUGGCAUUGCUUCGACAUCGACAUCAGCCUCACAGCCACAGUUGGUUCAUCAUACUGGUAGCAAUGUUCAUCAUUCAAUGGGUAAAUCACUUUUAUCAACAUCAUCAAACAAUUCUUCUCCAUUAUUGAUUCCAAGCAACAAUAAUUCGCCUACCUCAAUGAUGACAGCUGUUGCUACUGGUGGUGGAAAUGGCCAGUCAACCAACCAUUUGGUUGGUGAUAUAAAUAUUAUUAAUAGACAUCUAAACCAUGGAAAUCGUGCUUCACCAUUAAUUGAUCCACAUUCGAGCUUCAAUGCUGCGUCUAUUUACAAAUAAACGCGUGCCAUUAAACAAACCACUUUGUGGUUCAAUAUUGCGACUGAACAUGACAAUCGAUCCAAUGUUUAAUCCAAGUUUGUGUAAAUUCACAUUGUUGUAACAACGUGAAUGCUUUUUGCAUAAUAUGUUGAAUGAACUAUGAAUUUAACACCAUGACAUGGUGUCUUUUGUUUGUAUGAAGUGUUGUAUGUUUUAAGUUUGUUUUCUUAUAUUUAUUGUUUAUAUAAAUUCAUUUAUUUUUGUCAUUAAUAAAAAAAAAGUUUGAUUUUAU
This is a non-coding RNA of Dermatophagoides farinae (American house dust mite), 1640 nucleotides long. Lineage: Eukaryota; Metazoa; Arthropoda; Arachnida; Sarcoptiformes; Pyroglyphidae. The record is from RefSeq and is a predicted model, not a curated record.